This 252-nucleotide ribosomal RNA is filed under the name uncultured bacterium. RNAcentral describes it as "partial 16S ribosomal RNA". It matches the Rfam family "Bacterial small subunit ribosomal RNA", at positions 524 to 776 of the family's 1533-position model. The record is from RNAcentral.
GACGUAGGGGGCCAGCGUUGUUCGGAAUUACUGGGUGUAAGGGUUCGUAGGCGGUGUGGCAAGUCGGGAGUGAAAUCUCUGGGCUCAACCCAGAGUCUGCUUCCGAAACUGCUGUGCUUGAGUGUGGGAGAGGCGCGUGGAAUUGCAGGUGUAGCGGUGAAAUGCGUAGAUAUCUGCAGGAACACCCGUGGCGAAAGCGGCGCGCUGGACCAUAACUGACGCUGAGACACGAAAGCGUGGGUAGCAAACAGG